This 254-nucleotide ribosomal RNA is filed under the name uncultured bacterium. Its description in RNAcentral is "partial 16S ribosomal RNA". It matches the Rfam family "Bacterial small subunit ribosomal RNA", at positions 524 to 776 of the family's 1533-position model. The record is from RNAcentral.
UACGUAGGGGGGCAAGCGUUGUCCGGAUUUAUUGGGCGUAAAGAGCGUGUAGGCGGCCUGACAGGUCUGCUGUGAAAACUCGAGGCUCAACCUCGAGAUGUCGGCGGAAACCGUCUGGCUAGAGUCCGGAAGAGGAGAGUGGAAUUCCUGGUGUAGCGGUGAAAUGCGCAGAUAUCAGGAGGAACACCAAUGGCGAAGGCAGGUCUCUGGGCCACAACUGACGCUGAGGAGCGAAAGCAUGGGGAGCGAACAGG